Molecule: long non-coding RNA, 368 nt
Filed under: Olea europaea (common olive)
Lineage: Eukaryota; Viridiplantae; Streptophyta; Magnoliopsida; Lamiales; Oleaceae
Description: long non-coding RNA (OEUR_LNC001699)
Source: RNAcentral
ACGAUGGGAAAUAACCCUUUUUUUAGCAACACCUCAAUAAAAAUCUAUUGAUACAAGUAAAGUUUUAGUAGAAGGUAAUUAUCCAUAAUAUCAGAAACCAGUGGUAGCAUAAAAUAAAAUUAUAGUUCGAAAAUAUGUGUAUUGGAACUGAAGAACGAUGAUGGGAGAGGAGCUAGAAAGCUUGAGUUUGAUGAAUUGUAGGAGUUGGAGCAUUAACGAACUGAAGGGAUAUCGUCUGUCAACGAUGAAAAGGUAUUUGUAACUUAAUUUUUGUCUUGACAAUGUUUUGGAUUCUUGACUAACUUCAUUACUCACAACUUUAGCAUUUGCUUGAUAAUGAAUCUUUAAAAUGAAAUUCUUUGAAAAUU